This 438-nucleotide long non-coding RNA is filed under the name Homo sapiens (human). RNAcentral's name for it is "non-protein coding lnc-RGS17-3:1". Lineage: Eukaryota; Metazoa; Chordata; Mammalia; Primates; Hominidae. The record is from RNAcentral.
UCCAUUUUCCAAGGCAAAGGAAAAUGCAAGAGGAAGGCAAAAUCUUAGUAUCCUUGGAAGUGCUAUUAGCCUUAGAACCUGCCUUUAAGUGUAAAAAUUAACUUGGCCUUUUGCAUGGAUGUACAUAGGGCCCUUUGAUGCAUGAUAGUGAGAUGACAGGACACUCAUAUAGCAGUGGGAAGAGCAGAAAUUUAUAAUUUGACCACCACCAAGUGAUUACAAAAGCCACCUCCAUGAUCACCACCAGCAAAAACAUAGCCAAAAAUGUGUACCUGGGCAUCUGGAAAAAGCAAAUAAAAUUACUCUUUGAUAAAACUGUAAUUUAAACAUAGAUUUCAAAUAGUCAUCCAGAGUUUUACAAUAUUUAAAGGCACAUUAGCUCAUAAUGAGAAACUGCAAAACACUAAACAGAAAAUAUACCUUGAAAUAUUAGGAAAA